RNAcentral lists this ribosomal RNA (641 nucleotides) under uncultured Ehrlichia sp. Its description in RNAcentral is "bacterial SSU rRNA". It matches the Rfam family "Bacterial small subunit ribosomal RNA", at positions 815 to 1455 of the family's 1533-position model. The record is from RNAcentral. Lineage: Bacteria; Pseudomonadati; Pseudomonadota; Alphaproteobacteria; Rickettsiales; Anaplasmataceae.
GCUGAAUGUGGGGAUAAUUUAUCUUUGUAUUGUAGCUAACGCGUUAAGCACUCCGCCUGGGGACUACGGUCGCAAGACUAAAACUCAAAGGAAUUGACGGGGACCCGCACAAGCGGUGGAGCAUGUGGUUUAAUUCGAUGCUACGCGAAAAACCUUACCACUUUUUGACAUGAAGGUCGUAUCCCUCCUAACAGGGGGAGUCAGUUCGGCUGGGCCUUACACAGGUGCUGCAUGGUUGUCGUCAGCUCGCGUCGUGAGAUGUUGGGUUAAGUCCCGCAACGAGCGCAACCCUCAUUCUUAGUUACCAACAGGUAAUGCUGGGCACUCUAAGGAAACUGCCAGUGAUAAACUGGAGGAAGGUGGGGAUGAUGUCAAAUCAGCACGGCCCUUAUAAGGUGGGCUACACACGUGCCACAAUGGCAACUACAAUAGGUUGCGAGACCGCAAGGUUUAGCUAAUCCAUAAAAGUCGUCUCAGUUCGGAUUGUUCUCUGCAACUCGAGAGCAUGAAGUCGGAAUCGCUAGUAAUCGUGGAUCAUCACGCCACGGUGAAUACGUUCUCGGGUCUUGUACACACUGCCCGUCACGCCAUGGAAAUUGGCUUAACUCGAAGCUGGUGUGCUAACCGAAAGGAAGCAGCCA